AGCGAACGCUGGCGGCAGGCCUAACACAUGCAAGUCGAACGGAUCCUUCGGGAUUAGUGGCGGACGGGUGAGGAACACGUGGGAACGUGCCUUUUGGUUCGGAACAACUCAGGGAAACUUGAGCUAAUACCGGAUGUGCCCUUCGGGGGAAAGAUUUAUCGCCAUUAGAGCGGCCCGCGUCUGAUUAGCUAGUUGGUGGGGUAAAGGCUCACCAAGGCUACGAUCAGUAGCUGGUCUGAGAGGAUGAUCAGCCACACUGGGACUGAGACACGGCCCAGACUCCUACGGGAGGCAGCAGUGGGGAAUCUUGCGCAAUGGGCGAAAGCCUGACGCAGCCAUGCCGCGUGAAUGAUGAAGGUCUUAGGAUUGUAAAAUUCUUUCACCGGGGACGAUAAUGACGGUACCCGGAGAAGAAGCCCCGGCUAACUUCGUG
This 433-nucleotide ribosomal RNA is filed under the name uncultured bacterium. RNAcentral describes it as "bacterial SSU rRNA". It matches the Rfam family "Bacterial small subunit ribosomal RNA", at positions 29 to 507 of the family's 1533-position model. The record is from RNAcentral.